ACCAUUUCUUUUCUGUUUAUUUUCCUUUUGGUUCUUUUUCAUAUUUCUUUUAUUAUUUUCCUUUAUUCUCUUAAUUAUUAUUACUGAGUCUUAUCCUUGUUAUGCUUAUAAAUAGUAUUAGUUUUUAGGAAGUUGUGAUUAUUCUUUUUCUUUUUGUGGAAGUAUGUUUUAUAUCAUCCUUUUUGCCUUUAUUCUUAUUAUUAUGUUUUUGUUGCCUAUUUC
This 222-nucleotide long non-coding RNA is filed under the name Gossypium raimondii (Peruvian cotton). Its description in RNAcentral is "long non-coding RNA (GRAI_LNC003026)". The record is from RNAcentral. Lineage: Eukaryota; Viridiplantae; Streptophyta; Magnoliopsida; Malvales; Malvaceae.